RNAcentral lists this ribosomal RNA (804 nucleotides) under uncultured Bacteroidota bacterium. RNAcentral's name for it is "bacterial SSU rRNA". It matches the Rfam family "Bacterial small subunit ribosomal RNA", at positions 55 to 852 of the family's 1533-position model. The record is from RNAcentral. Lineage: Bacteria; Pseudomonadati; Bacteroidota.
AUGCAAGUCGAGGGGCAGCAUGGAAGAAGCUUGCUUCUUCUGAUGGCGACCGGCGCACGGGUGCGUAACGCGUAUCAAACCUGCCUCAUACUCGGGGAUAGCCUUGCGAAAGUAAGAUUAAUACCCGAUGUUGUUAUGUUACCGCAUGGUGAUAUAACCAAAGAUUUAUCGGUAUGAGAUGGUGAUGCGUCCGAUUAGGUAGUAGGCGGGGUAACGGCCCACCUAGCCUUCGAUCGGUAGGGGUUCUGAGAGGAAGGUCCCCCACACUGGAACUGAGACACGGCCCAGACUCCUACGGGAGGCAGCAGUGAGGAAUAUUGGUCAAUGGACGCAAGUCUGAACCAGCCAAGUAGCGUGCAGGAUGACGGCCCUCUGGGUUGUAAACUGCUUUUAGUUGGGAAUAAAAAAGAGGACGUGUCCUCUAUUGUAUGUACCUUCAGAAAAAGGACCGGCUAAUUCCGUGCCAGCAGCCGCGGUAAUACGGAAGGUCCAGGCGUUAUCCGGAUUUAUUGGGUUUAAAGGGAGCGUAGGCGGAUUAUUAAGUCAGUGGUGAAAGACGGUGGCUCAACCAUCGUUAGCCAUUGAAACUGGUAGUCUUGAGUGCAGACAGGGAUGCUGGAACUCGUGGUGUAGCGGUGAAAUGCUUAGAUAUCACGAUGAACUCCGAUCGCGAAGGCAGGUGUCCGGGCUGCAACUGACGCUGAGGCUCGAAAGUGUGGGUAUCAAACAGGAUUAGAUAUCCUGGUAGUCCACACAGUAAACGAUGUAUACUCGCGGUUUGCGAUAGAAUGUAAGCCGCCAAGC